This 3688-nucleotide long non-coding RNA is filed under the name Canis lupus familiaris (dog). RNAcentral's name for it is "lncRNA (ENSCAFG00000058096.1)". Lineage: Eukaryota; Metazoa; Chordata; Mammalia; Carnivora; Canidae. The record is from RNAcentral.
CAGGAAUUAGAAGAAAAAAAAAAAAAAAAAAAAAGGGAAAAGAAAAAAAGAAAGAAAGAGAAAAAAGAAACAACCACCGCCCCGGGGGUGAAGCUCCCUCGCUCCCAACUCUACUUCUUGGUCUCCCCCCCACCCCCCGCUCCCCCCCCCUUCUGCUGCUUCCUCCUCCUCCUCCUCCUCUCGCAGCAGCAGUCACAGCAGCAGCAGCAGCAGCCCAAAGGGGGGGAGAGCCGGGCGGCGGGCGGGCGCGUCCCGGAGCGGCCGCGGCGAGGCUGGGGAGACAGCGAUCGAGGCGGCUAUAGCCACAAUUAAUUUUCCGAGCUACAGGCGCACACUAGGGCUGUAAAAAAAUUUUUGGUUUAACCUUUCCUACCGCUCGGCCAAUCAGAGCCGGCGGCGUGCGGGAGCGUCUCUCCCGCCGUCGACCAAUCGGCGGACCCGGGCCCACCCACCCCCGCCCCGCCCGCCGGCUCCCGCCCCCUCGGCGCUCGCCUCCCCCUCGCCGCGGGCCUGGGCCUCGCGGCCGCGCGGAGCCGCGUAGGGAUACGCCGUCCGGAGCACGCUGCGCCGCGGCCCUCUCGGCGCCCCCGCCACCCCCUCCGCCCUGCGGGCCGCUCCGCCGAGGUCCCCCUCUUAGGGCAGAUAGCUCACAUUUCCGGCUGCCUCCUCGCCGUGUCGGGCCAUUUUCGUUUGAGCGUCAAUGUUUGUCGUUAUUGAUUAAAGUUUGUAUUCCAUUUCAUUUUUAAAAGCGGGGGCGGGGGCGGGGGCGGGGGCGGCCGCGGCGGUGGGGCGGAGAGUGUGGGAGUGCGGGGACGGGGUGCGAGGAGAGGGCAGGAAAUGGAGGAGGAAGAGGCGAGGCGCGACCGGCCCCGAGUCGGCCCUCCAGGCCCGGGGCGGCAUUGCCGAGCCCGUAGGAAAACUGUGCCCCUCAUGCAUAGGGAGUCCCUGACCCCAGGACGUUUGGGAACAAGUGGAACUCAUGCAGAGGCAUCCAGGUAUUUCCAGAGACUGACGAGCCGAGGUCUGCAAUCCCUUCCUAACAGCAGGUUAGCUCUAAGAGAUACCACUGGCCAAAUGGAAUGAGUUUUUCCUUCCCUGUAUGGCAGAAUGAUCAGUCACAGUGAAGCAGGUAUAAUUACGCGGUCUUCUCUUCUGUACCAGGCCUGUUUGAAAUGAGUGUUUGUCCCAGGUAAAAAAUUUGUUUGGAAAAAACAAUUUGUUUGGAAAGAAAACAAAACAAAUAACAAAGUAGUAUUGGCAUUAGUUGCGCACAUAUACGUGUUUUUAAGUGCUAUAUUGGUUGAAGAGUUGUUGUGAGUGUGUUAUCAGGAACCUAGGGUUGCAUUAAGUUGCCUGUCCUUCCUCAGGAAUAAUGCUGUACCCCUCACCCAAGUUCUGAGCCAUCUGCUGGAGAUGUAUUAACUCCUUGUUAGAAAAGCAGCUUCUAGCUCUCCUAGUUGAAUAUGAAGUUUAGAUGGUUUCAUACUCUUCUUUCAUAGUGAGCUUAGUGGUCUAGUUUCAGAAUCUCAGCCAGAGCCAGGCCUGACACAUUAAAAAAUGUCUUUGGCCAUAGGUGUCAACAAUCUUUCCAUAUCAUUCAUGACUAACCUGUAAAGGUCAUUUAACAUGUUAUAAAGUUGCAUGGGUACUUUCCUUGCACUGACCCUAUGAAACAGCACUUUGGUAUAUGUCCCCCUUGUUCUUUGCACCAGAAACCGAUUCUUUUUGGUCAGGUUAGGUAGUUUAUCAUUUUUGAGAGAAGAGCUCUGCACUUAAAGGAUGUUCUUAAAUUAUAAAGGGUUUGGCAUUUAGGUGUUUAGAUUAUUGACUAGAAGUGAUCAAAUGGAAGAGGUGAGGGGUUCGUUUGUUUAAUUGAAUUGAAUACAUUGUCCAUUGUAAGGUGCGCCAUUGUUUUAUAGAUCAUGAAGGAAAACAAGUGCUGCAAAUUUUCUGUGACAUGCCAUAAACUGUGAGGUGCAUCCACACUUCAUAGAUAUUAAAAUAUGUACAUCUCAUAAUCGUAUGCAAUGUGGUAUUUCCUUAUCUGCUUUGAAAUGAAUUUAGGUACAAUGACAGCAUAGCUUCUUGGGAAGAUAUGUCUAGUAAAAAUACAGAUUGUCGGGAUCCCUGGGUGGCGCAGCGGUUUGGCGCCUGCCUUUGGCCCAGGGCGUGAUCCUGGAGACUCGGGAUCGAAUCCCACGUCGGGCUCCCGGUGCAUGGAGCCUGCUUCUCCCUCUGCCUAUGUCUCUGCCUCUCUCUCACUCACUGUGUGCCUAUCAUAAAUAUAAAAUAAAAGAAAAAAAAAGAAAAAAAAUACAGAUUGUCUACAACAAUGUGAAGAACCAUAUGAUUACAAAGAAAUUUUAUAAUAGGACAAUUAUAAAUUUCAGCAUGUUCUCAGAUAUUUGAAAAAUAAUUGCUGGAAACUCUUUAAUUUUUGAUAGGAAUUCUAAGAAAUCUCAGGGUUUCUAAGUAAUAUCUUUAUAUUAAAAGAAAAAAUAGUCCAUAUUUUGGAAAAAUCUUCCUAAUAUAAAACUGAUUCUGGAUUGUUGGGUGAGAAGCUUUAUUCUUCCCUUGGAGGUUUUUCUGAGUGGAACUUUCUAGUUUUGUUAUUAUGGUGUAGUGUUAUGGUAUGGUCUACUAGGCAGACAUGCCACUAUCUGCACCUUGCAGAUCAAGGCAGUAGGUAAGAAUCUAAAGUCUCUUCUGUCCUUAUAUAUCAGUUAGAAGUGUAUAUUUUUUAAUAAAAUAUUUUAUAAAAUCUUUAAUUUUUGCUUACUUCUAAUUUUGGCUUAACACGACUCACUAUACAAAAAUUUCCAGUAUGAAAAUAAAUACAAAUCACCUAUUAAAACGAACCCAGAAGGAUGCCUGGAUGGCUCAGUUGGUUGAAUGUCUGCCUUCAGCUCAGGCCAUGAUCCUGGGGUCCUGGGAUCCAGCAUCAUAUCAGGCUCCCUGUUCAGGGGGGAGUCUGCUUCUCCUUCUCUCUCUGCCCCUCUCCCUACUUGUGCACGUGCUCUCUCUCUCAAAUAAAUAAAUAAAAUCUAAAUAAAAUAAAAUAAAAUAAAACAAACCCAGAGGUAACCUCACUUAUCAUUUUACAUAAUUUUUAAAAGUUGGGCCUUUUCCUAUGUAUAAAUGUACAAUACUAUAUGGUACAUUUUAAACAAUUCAAAUGGUCCUGUGUGUAUGCUUUGUGUUCUGCCUUUUUUGAUUCAAUGUUUUACCAUCAGCAUUUCCCCAUCACAAUUUUGAUUUUUGAAAACUGCUAUUAAUUUAUGGAUCAACAUGUUUAUAUUAAUUUAUGAAUUGAUUUACAUUUAGGUUGUUUCUACUUUUUCAUCAUUAAAAUGACUUGAGAUGUUUCCAGAACUCUAUUUCCUUUUAAUAGAUUUUUUUUAGGGGAUGGAUAUUUUGGGUCUCACAGUAUGAAUUUUCUUACACUGGCAAUCUGUUAAAGUAUGUGUCUUAUUGAACCAUUAUUAAAUAUUAACUUUUCUUUUGUAAGUUGAAGAGGAAAAAUAUAUCUAAAACUUGCUUUAAUGUGUAUUUUUUUUUAUCUUACCAUCAAGAUUAAAGUAUUUUUUUCGAGUAUUAUUUACAUUUUUUAUUUCUUCUUCUGUAAUGUAUCUUUAUGUAUUUUGUCUAUUUUUGUGCUGUUUAAUCUUUUAUUUUAGUUACAAUAUUG